Molecule: long non-coding RNA, 3400 nt
Organism: Dermochelys coriacea (leatherback sea turtle)
Lineage: Eukaryota; Metazoa; Chordata; Testudines; Dermochelyidae
Exons: 3
Source: RefSeq, a predicted model, not a curated record
AGUUCACUGAAAGAGUCAAACAAAACAUUUAAGAGUAUAAAAGCGUAUGAAGAUGUUAAGAAAGUGAGAAUUACAACCUUGAGGCCUUUGAGUUAUGACACAGAAGCCAUUGUUUUCUGGAAGCUUAGUUGCAUUGAAAAAAAAGUUAGAAAUAUUAGCUUGACUCAUUUGUUUCAAAUUUGUUUGUUCUUUUCUCCUGUAGAAAGCAGUACAGGUAUUACAGUCAACUACAACAUCCCAAGCAGGAAGGCUACCACAGUACAGGGGUGUUAUACAAUUAACUGAUGCAUAAUUUGCCAAUCCUCCAGGUUGUCCUGGCAUCUCCAGGAAUUAAAAGAUUAAAUCUUUAAUUAAAGAUACAUCAUCCAACAAAACCUCCAGGAAUACGGCCAACCAAAACUGGCAACCCUAGCAUAACUGUACACUGUAGUUACCGGCUAUUACUGCACCUAUCAAGAAUCUGCAACACCACCGAUGUGUUCUGAGAUGUCAGACAAUGGUUCCUGUGGAAAUAAUUACCAGCUAGUUGGUAUGCUUGCAGGGAGCAAAUGGAAUUGGAUGUACCACACCUACUACUAAACUGCCGAAGUUCAGCUGUACAAAGACUCAAGAAGGAACACCAAGUAAUUAGAAGGAAAGGAACAGUCCUUGGAGAACACCCUGUUAGAAUUUAGGAAUAUUGUGUGUAAAUAUUUUUUAUUAGGAUUGCCCAUAUGCUUAGCAUUUUAGUCAUGGCCAAGACAGACCCCUCCCAUGAGGCUGGUGACAACAGAAACCAUUACACAACAAAUUAGCACUAUGUUCUAAAGGAGCAAAAAACAUCUAACAAGGCACUUCAUUUCUUUCAAGGAAACUUAAUGCAACAGCGAAUAGCUCUUUAUGUAACCACUAAUGAAAACAAAGGAUUAUAAGACAAGAGACUCAGAGAGCAAACCUAGAUCAGCCACAUUUGGGUUCACUGGGCAAUGCAUCUUUGUCUUUCUCCUCAAGACUGCUGCAUGUGUGUAACUUCAUUUAUAGACUCAAGGCCAGAAGGGACUAUUAUGAUCAUCUCGUCUGCCCAGCAUAGCACAGGCCAGAGAAUUUCACCCCAUAAUUCCUCCAUCUAACUCAAUCGAUAGUUGAACUAGAGCGUCUUUUAGACAGCUAUCCAGGCUCAUUUGAAAGAAUGAAUUCUGCUAUGACCUUUAAUGAAGAGAUCCCUACCAUAUACAAUGACACAAAAGGGAGGAAAAGCCAUUCUUAAAGCGUAAACAGCUCCAAAUGCCUGCUGGUGUGCCACAUCAUUCCCUUGGUUAAACGGCAGUCCAGUGCAUAAAGGGCAGGAAGAGGGGCCCGUUCCUGUGGAUGCAGGAGGCUGAAAUAUUGUGGAUCCCAUAUCAGACAUGUAUAGUGGUUCAGGUAAUAUCUUUUAUUGGCUCAACUUCUGUUGGUUAAAGAGAACUUGUUCUAGAAUACGGUCUUGUUUGGCCACAAGUUACUGGGCUAAAUGGGCAAUCACAAGGUGAAAUUCUAUGACUGAUACUAUAAAGGAGGUCAAACCAGAUACUAGUAAAGGGUUUUUUUGUUUGUUUUUUUUUUAAAAAAAGGCCAGAAAAUUAAGUAUAAAUGGUAUGUCAACAUUCAUCUUUCAAUAUUAGCUGUACAUAACUCUUCUGCUCUUCACCAUGCAAGAGGACAAGGUGGCCCCUAGUUCCCAGAUUCUAGCCUGUGGGCCAUCGGUAAUCUAUCAAGCAUUUGCUGAUGUUCUAAUCUACAGAGACCUGGUGGUUCUUGUUUCCGGCCCCUAAACCACAUGAAGAAGCUACUAUCACAUUAAAUGCUUUCCAAAUACUACUUUUCUAUGUAGGUAAGUAGUAAUAUGAGUUAUUCUAUUGCCAGCAGAAAAAGAGGCAGUCCAGAAGACACUGCAUUAAGAUGUGGCCUUUGAGAACUCUUGAUAUAGCUAGGAUCUCUGUUAAAACAUAGUGGCAUCACAUUAGAGAAGCCUGGGGAAAAAUUUCUUCCCUUGCUUGUUACACUGGAUGUAACAAAGGCUGUAGAAUUGAUAAAAUGCCACCAAUUUUUAAUUACCGUACAUUUUCCACAAAAUCACUGAUGUAAAAUCCACUUACCCCAGCAGACUCCCCAGCGUGCAGAACUCAACUCACAGAGAGCGCGAGGAGGGAGAAGGUUUUUAACAGGAUAAUCCAUGCAUUUCUUGUUGCUGCUGCACCAGAGACACUGAAAGAGAAGCAAAGCAAGUGAGAUGCAAGUGCAAGAUUGUUUGAGUGCAAUGAUACUACUAGGUAACAAAGGCUAUUCAAGCUAAGAGCAUUGUAACGAGCCUGGCAAGUUUACAAACUACAAUGUAUGACAUGACUUACUAUAUUCCGAUAUUCAAGGGCACAGGACUGAUGAGAGUAAUCAGUAUUUGACUACAGAUAGUUAAGGGGAUUGCUGAGAACUGCUAUGGUUAAGUGUUAGGUUACAUGGUGCUGUGGAUAUAUAGAACAGCAGAUUCCUGAGGCAUGAUGAAAGCUCAAUAUCUGCACUUUUGAAAAAAGUUUGCAAGUCACGAAUGUCAUGCUUUGGUGCUGAUGUUUGUUGGUAUGAAAGUGUGCCUCAACUACAGCUGUCCAGAAACAAGCUUUGUAAAUAGCUAUGGACUUAUAAUAGUUACCGUAUAUUUUUGUAAGAUAAAAAGGCUCAAAUAUGCUUCCUAUAUGAAGGUUGUUGAAUAAAUGAGAGGAAACUUUGUAAACAAAUGGAAAUGUCGCUCUAAGUCAGGACUUACUUAGUUUGGUAAAUCAGCUUUUAAUAUGUAACAUUUAUACUUUUCACCCCAAAGCAAAUCCAAGUGAAAGCGAGCCACUGAUUUUCAUACCAAACAUAAGGGUGUUACAAAGCAUUUUCCCUGGAGCCAAGGGAGAAUGUUAUCAUUAGAGCCCUUAAAAUGCAAAUAAUCACAGUCAACAGUAGACAGGUAAUGCAAAGGCUUUCUGGACUACAAGACUUUAAAUAGUUUCAUGAGCAAAGCAUUCAAUAACUGUUACAGAACCAGGGAAAUGUUAAAGGUUAGUAUCCACCCUAGCUAAUUUUUCUUUGACCGGAUUCAGUAUCUUCACAUACAGUACUCCCCCUCAAUGAUCACAGGAUUAGGGGGAAUUAGUUUUUGAAGUUUCUCUGCAGGUCCUGGCACAGCUCUUUGAAGCAGAAGAUCAUGGGAGUUGCUGUUGGAGAUGCUGGAGCAAAGUGGAAGAUUUACAAGUUUUUUUAAAAGGACAAAAAGAGGCCUUAGGGGUUGCUCACACUACCUCAUAAAAUGGGAGCCAUAUGCUCAGAAUUACAUCAGCUGCAGUAGCUCCAAACAAGAAAGGAAUCAGGACUACGGGACAGAGCAAUCAUGGUACAGCGAAUA